RNAcentral lists this ribosomal RNA (497 nucleotides) under uncultured bacterium. Its description in RNAcentral is "partial 16S ribosomal RNA". It matches the Rfam family "Bacterial small subunit ribosomal RNA", at positions 28 to 507 of the family's 1533-position model. The record is from RNAcentral.
GAUGAACGCUGGCGGCGUGCCUAAUACAUGCAAGUAGAACGCUGAAGCUUGGUGCUUGCACCGAGCGGAUGAGUUGCGAACGGGUGAGUAACGCGUAGGUAACCUGCCUCUUAGCGGGGGAUAACUAUUGGAAACGAUAGCUAAUACCGCAUAAAAGUCGACAUCGCAUGAUGUUGACUUGAAAGGUGCAAUUGCAUCACUAAGAGAUGGACCUGCGUUGUAUUAGCUAGUUGGUGAGGUAACGGCUCACCAAGGCGACGAUACAUAGCCGACCUGAGAGGGUGAUCGGCCACACUGGGACUGAGACACGGCCCAGACUCCUACGGGAGGCAGCAGUAGGGAAUCUUCGGCAAUGGGGGCAACCCUGACCGAGCAACGCCGCGUGAGUGAAGAAGGUUUUCGGAUCGUAAAGCUCUGUUGUAAGAGAAGAACGAGUGUGAGAGUGGAAAGUUCACACUGUGACGGUAACUGACCAGAAAGGGACGGCUAACUACGUG